AACCCAUGGUGAGGACACCUUUGUAGUAGGUCCUUAUAUCUUUCCCAUGCAUCGUAAAGUGUUUCUAAAUCCAUCUGCACAAAAGAAGAUAUAUCAUUCCUCAAUUU
This 107-nucleotide small nucleolar RNA is filed under the name Gossypium arboreum. Its description in RNAcentral is "Plant small nucleolar RNA R71". It matches the Rfam family "Plant small nucleolar RNA R71". From Rfam's summary of the family: R71 is a member of the C/D box family of snoRNAs containing the C (UGAUGA) and D (CUGA) box motifs. Multiple nearly identical copies of this snoRNA have been identified in Arabidopsis, and it is thought to function as a 2'-O-ribose methylation guide for 18S ribosomal RNA. The record is from Rfam by way of RNAcentral. Lineage: Eukaryota; Viridiplantae; Streptophyta; Magnoliopsida; Malvales; Malvaceae.